Robiginitalea biformata HTCC2501 is the source of this 108-nucleotide small RNA. It matches the Rfam family "6S-Flavo RNA". The record is from Rfam. Lineage: Bacteria; Pseudomonadati; Bacteroidota; Flavobacteriia; Flavobacteriales; Flavobacteriaceae.
ACUCAACAUUACUUUAAUUAGAAAGGGUGAGUUUAGGUUGUAAAAGCAAGCCUUCUUUGAAAGGAUCCUUGAGCAAUCUGUUAGCCCUAAACCUGUUUAUAGGAGUUU